GGGUUGUGAGGUUAAGCGACUAAGCGUACACGGUGGAUGCCCUGGCAGUCAGAGGCGAUGAAGGGCGUGCUAAUCUGCGAUAAGCGCCGGUAAGGUGAUAUGAACCGUUAUAACCGGCGAUACCCGAAUGGGGAAACCCAGUGUGAUUCGUCACACUAUCAUUAACUGAAUCCAUAGGUUAAUGAGGCGAACCGGGGGAACUGAAACAUCUAAGUACCCCGAGGAAAAGAAAUCAACCGAGAUUCCCCCAGUAGCGGCGAGCGAACGGGGAGGAGCCCAGAGCCUGAAUCAGCAUGUGUGUUAGUGGAAGCGUCUGGAAAGGCGCGCGAUACAGGGUGACAGCCCCGUACACAAAAGCGCAUGUGCUGUGAGCUCGAUGAGUAGGGCGGGACACGUGGUAUCCUGUCUGAAUAUGGGGGGACCAUCCUCCAAGGCUAAAUACUCCUGACUGACCGAUAGUGAACCAGUACCGUGAGGGAAAGGCGAAAAGAACCCCGGCGAGGGGAGUGAAAAAGAACCUGAAACCGUGUACGUACAAGCAGUGGGAGCCCCACCACUAAGCCGGUGGUGAACUCCACAUACGCAUCCUUUGCUGAGGAUACGGUUAACGGAGCGAAAGCGACGUUCAACCGCAAAAGAAGCAGAGGGGGCUUAGUGGUGGGGUGACUGCGUACCUUUUGUAUAAUGGGUCAGCGACUUAUAUUCUGUAGCAAGGUUAACCGUAUAGGGGAGCCGCAGGGAAACCGAGUCUUAAUUGGGCGUUAAGUUGCAGGGUAUAGACCCGAAACCCGGUGAUCUAGCCAUGGGCAGGUUGAAGGUUGGGUAACACUAACUGGAGGACCGAACCGACUAAUGUUGAAAAAUUAGCGGAUGACCUGUGGCUGGGGGUGAAAGGCCAAUCAAACCGGGAGAUAGCUGGUUCUCCCCGAAAGCUAUUUAGGUAGCGCCUCGUGAACUCAUCUCCGGGGGUAGAGCACUGUUUCGGCUAGGGGGCCAUCCCGGCUUACCAACCCGAUGCAAACUGCGAAUACCGGAGAAUGUUAUCACGGGAGACACACGGCGGGUGCUAACGUCCGUCGUGAAGAGGGAAACAACCCAGACCGCCAGCUAAGGUCCCAAAGUCAUGGUUAAGUGGGAAACGAUGUGGGAAGGCCCAGACAGCCAGGAUGUUGGCUUAGAAGCAGCCAUCAUUUAAAGAAAGCGUAAUAGCUCACUGGUCGAGUCGGCCUGCGCGGAAGAUGUAACGGGGCUAAACCAUGCACCGAAGCUGCGGCAGCGAACGUAUCACUUAAAGCGAUUCAGCGGGUUACGAUUGACGGAGCGAAGCGACGUCAAAGCGUAUACAAAGUCGAGUCGGUUUAAGGAUACGUUCGUUGGGUAGGGGAGCGUUCUGUAAGCCUGUGAAGGUGUGUCGUGAGGCAUGCUGGAGGUAUCAGAAGUGCGAAUGCUGACAUAAGUAACGAUAAAGCGGGUGAAAAGCCCGCUCGCCGGAAGACCAAGGGUUCCUGUCCAACGUUAAUCGGGGCAGGGUGAGUCGACCCCUAAGGCGAGGCCGAAAGGCGUAGUCGAUGGGAAACGGGUUAAUAUUCCCGUACUUGGUGUUACUGCGAAGGGGGGACGGAGAAGGCUAUGUUGGCCGGGCGACGGUUGUCCCGGUUUAAGCGUGUAGGUGUGUGUUCCAGGUAAAUCCGGUUCACUUUAACACUGAGGCGUGACGACGAGGCACUACGGUGCUGAAGCAACAAAUGCCCUGCUUCCAGGAAAAGCCUCUAAGCAUCAGGUAACAUCAAAUCGUACCCCAAACCGACACAGGUGGUCAGGUAGAGAAUACCAAGGCGCUUGAGAGAACUCGGGUGAAGGAACUAGGCAAAAUGGUGCCGUAACUUCGGGAGAAGGCACGCUGACACGUAGGUGAAGUGAUUUACUCAUGGAGCUGAAGUCAGUCGAAGAUACCAGCUGGCUGCAACUGUUUAUUAAAAACACAGCACUGUGCAAACACGAAAGUGGACGUAUACGGUGUGACGCCUGCCCGGUGCCGGAAGGUUAAUUGAUGGGGUCAGCGCAAGCGAAGCUCCUGAUCGAAGCCCCGGUAAACGGCGGCCGUAACUAUAACGGUCCUAAGGUAGCGAAAUUCCUUGUCGGGUAAGUUCCGACCUGCACGAAUGGCGUAAUGAUGGCCAGGCUGUCUCCACCCGAGACUCAGUGAAAUUGAACUCGCUGUGAAGAUGCAGUGUACCCGCGGCAAGACGGAAAGACCCCGUGAACCUUUACUAUAGCUUGACACUGAACAUUGAGCCUUGAUGUGUAGGAUAGGUGGGAGGCUUUGAAGUGUGGACGCCAGUCUGCAUGGAGCCGACCUUGAAAUACCACCCUUUAAUGUUUGAUGUUCUAACGUGGACCCGUGAUCCGGGUUGCGGACAGUGUCUGGUGGGUAGUUUGACUGGGGCGGUCUCCUCCUAAAGAGUAACGGAGGAGCACGAAGGUUGGCUAAUCCUGGUCGGACAUCAGGAGGUUAGUGCAAUGGCAUAAGCCAGCUUGACUGCGAGCGUGACGGCGCGAGCAGGUGCGAAAGCAGGUCAUAGUGAUCCGGUGGUUCUGAAUGGAAGGGCCAUCGCUCAACGGAUAAAAGGUACUCCGGGGAUAACAGGCUGAUACCGCCCAAGAGUUCAUAUCGACGGCGGUGUUUGGCACCUCGAUGUCGGCUCAUCACAUCCUGGGGCUGAAGUAGGUCCCAAGGGUAUGGCUGUUCGCCAUUUAAAGUGGUACGCGAGCUGGGUUUAGAACGUCGUGAGACAGUUCGGUCCCUAUCUGCCGUGGGCGCUGGAGAACUGAGGGGGGCUGCUCCUAGUACGAGAGGACCGGAGUGGACGCAUCACUGGUGUUCGGGUUGUCAUGCCAAUGGCACUGCCCGGUAGCUAAAUGCGGAAGAGAUAAGUGCUGAAAGCAUCUAAGCACGAAACUUGCCCCGAGAUGAGUUCUCCCUGAGACUUAGAGUCUCCUGAAGGAACGUUGAAGACGACGACGUUGAUAGGCCGGGUGUGUAAGCGCAGCGAUGCGUUGAGCUAACCGGUACUAAUGAACCGUGAGGCUUAACCUUACAACGCCGAAG
This 3109-nucleotide ribosomal RNA is filed under the name Salmonella enterica. RNAcentral describes it as "23S ribosomal RNA". It matches the Rfam family "Bacterial large subunit ribosomal RNA". The record is from RNAcentral. Lineage: Bacteria; Pseudomonadati; Pseudomonadota; Gammaproteobacteria; Enterobacterales; Enterobacteriaceae.